This 484-nucleotide ribosomal RNA is filed under the name uncultured bacterium. RNAcentral's name for it is "partial 16S ribosomal RNA". It matches the Rfam family "Bacterial small subunit ribosomal RNA", at positions 30 to 507 of the family's 1533-position model. The record is from RNAcentral.
AUUGAACGCUGGCGGCAUGCCUUACACAUGCAAGUCGAACGGCAGCGCGGACUUCGGUCUGGCGGCGAGUGGCGAACGGGUGAGUAAUACAUCGGAACGUACCCUGUUGUGGGGGAUAACUAGUCGAAAGAUUAGCUAAUACCGCAUACGACCUGAGGGUGCAAGUGGGGGACCGCAAGGCCUCACGCAGCAGGAGCGGCCGAUGUCUGAUUAGCUAGUUGGUGGGGUAAAGGCCCACCAAGGCGACGAUCAGUAGCUAGUCUGAGAGGACGAUCAGCCACACUGGGACUGAGACACGGCCCAGACUCCUACGGGAGGCAGCAGUGGGGAAUUUUGGACAAUGGGGGCAACCCUGAUCCAGCAAUGCCGCGUGUGUGAAGAAGGCCUUCGGGUUGUAAAGCACUUUUGUCCGGAAAGAAAUCGCGCUGGUUAAUACCUGGCGUGGAUGACGGUACCGGAAGAAUAAGCACCGGCUAACUACGUG